This is a long non-coding RNA of Mastomys coucha (southern multimammate mouse), 269 nucleotides long. RefSeq lists it as uncharacterized. The record is from RefSeq and is a predicted model, not a curated record. NCBI's taxonomy places the organism in Eukaryota, Metazoa, Chordata, Mammalia, Rodentia, Muridae. The transcript has 2 exons.
AGCGAAAAUUCUGGCCAUUGGCCAGAAGCUGAAGCAGGCUGGGGACUGAGAUCCACAGGAGACCAAGAGAACUGGGUCUGAUUUAGGCAGGAGGGUUGGUGCUUUCUGGCUGAUGGAAGACCAAGGUUAUAUAGCAAGGAAGAAUGGAGGACAGGAGCACCUGCAUGCACCAGCAGAGAUGUCACUUCUGCCCUCAGUCACUUGACACCACCAUACUCCUUCCCUCCCUCCCCAACGCAGCAAUACCUAGAGGUGUUUCUGAAAACCCA